RNAcentral lists this ribosomal RNA (788 nucleotides) under uncultured Chloroflexota bacterium. RNAcentral's name for it is "bacterial SSU rRNA". It matches the Rfam family "Bacterial small subunit ribosomal RNA", at positions 9 to 795 of the family's 1533-position model. The record is from RNAcentral. Lineage: Bacteria; Bacillati; Chloroflexota.
GAGUUUGAUCCUGGCUCAGGACGAACGCUGGCGGUGCGCCUAAUGCAUGCAAGUCGAACGAGGCCCGGAAGCUUCGGCACCCGGGUGAGUGGCGAACGGCUGAGUAACACGUAAGUGACCUGCCCCGAAAAGGGGGACAAUCCGGAGAAAUCCGGCCUAAUACCCCGUACGACCCGGUGGUUGCGGCCAUCGGAUGAAAUGGUUAAUCGACUUCGGCCGGUACCCCGCUUUGGGAGGGGCUUGCGGCCUAUCAGGUAGUUGGUGGGGUAAUGGCCCACCAAGCCUAAGACAGGUAUCCGGUGUGAGAGCAUGAACGGACAGAGGGGGACUGAGACACGGCCCCCACUCCUACGGGAGGCAGCAGCAGGGAAUCUUGCGCAAUGGGCGAAAGCCUGACGCAGCGACACCGCGUGGGGGAAGAAGGCUUUCGGGUUGUAAACCCCUUUUCUCGGGGAAGAGAGAGGACGGUACCCGAGGAAUAAGCAUCGGCUAACUACGUGCCAGCAGCCGCGGUAAUACGUAGGAUGCGAGCGUUGUCCGGAUUUACUGGGCGUAAAGGGCGAGCAGGCGGCCCGUUAAGUCUCAUGUAAAAUCUCCCGGCUCAACUGGGAGGGGUCAUGGGAAACUGACGGGCUUGAGGGCAGCAGAGGAGAGUGGAAUUCCCGGAGUAGCGGUGAUAUGCGUAGAUACCGGGAGGAACACCAGAGGCGAAGGCGACUCUCUGGGCUGCACCUGACGCUGAGGCGCGAAAGCAUGGGGAGCGAACCGGAUUAGAUACCCUGGUAGUC